UUUUUUCAAAGGAAAAACCCUAAAGUGAAGAGGAGAAAACGAGAGGAAUGAGGAAGAAAGCAAAAACAGAAAGAAAUCUGUUUCCCUCGUCUUGUCAUCCUCAAUGCUUUACAGAUGAAACUAAGACACAUGGCCAUGGUGCCCAGUCUGCACUCCUUGCUCUUGCUCGUUCUGGAAAGAGAAUUGGUCGUAUGGGCAUGGAUGGAUGAUGGAUCGUAUGAAUCUUCAAUGCCUGAUAUUGUUUCACAGAUGGAUGGAUGAUGAAUAUAGUUAUAUAUCUGUUGCUGGGGCUUGUAUAUUAUGUUGUCACACCUUUACUAGCUUCUUCCAUUUAUUCUUAUCUUCUUUGUUUUUGCCUACGUGAUUUUCCAUCACCAGAUUAUUAAUGUCACUCAUCCUCGUGCUUAACUUAAGGAUGCUUAUGUACAUCCUGACUUCAAGGGAGGGGAGAUGUACAAAUUAACCUGAAGCCAUUUACGAAGAAGAGAGAAAUCCUCUUGUUCCUACAAGCAGGACAUCUAAAAAGGCAUCUCAAACGGGUAGCAAACAUGAGUCUAAAGGCUCUAAAGGACCGUUUUUGAGAUCUUAGGAAACCCCUUCUUUUACUCUAUACCUUUAAAUGUUAGUGUUCUGUUUUUUACAUGUUCUUGUAAAAGCACCAGAAUCAUAUCAUAUUGACAUAUUCCUCCUC
Molecule: long non-coding RNA, 691 nt
Organism: Rosa chinensis
Lineage: Eukaryota; Viridiplantae; Streptophyta; Magnoliopsida; Rosales; Rosaceae
Exons: 4
Source: RefSeq, a predicted model, not a curated record